AGGUGGUUGGCAAGGCAGGGGUAACAGGGGGAAGGAGAAAAUCUGAAAUGCCGGUGUGAGCUCCGGGCCAAGAGAGUUGAGGACUCAGGAGGCAGGAAUCCCCCGUGGCCGCCCGCUGCUUGGCUGUGGGCUCCAACUUGGUGUGUGCUCAGAGAAGGCAGUGGUUGGAGUGAACAGGGCCUGUGCCAGGUGGGGAGACUAGCCAAGGUGUUUGUGCAGCCUGGCCUCUGGAGCGGCCUGGGAAGAGCUGGAGUUCGCAGGGUGGGAGCUGCCCUGUGGCUGGGAGCCCGUGCUGGCGUCCCUGCCAGGCGGUGAUCUCACAGAAACAGGGUCUAGCUAUGUUGCCCUGGCUGGUAUCAAACUCCUGGACUCAAACGAAAGUGCUGGGAUUCCAGGCAUGAGCCAGCGUUCCCGGCCUGCAUACGGGAUGAUUCCAUGUGGACUGCCACAUCAAGGAAGCAAACAAGGAAAGCCUGGCGCUGCGUGGAGCUGUCUUUCGCUGCUAACUGCCCUUGACCGACUUCCUACCAGGUCUUCCCCGUGCGCCUCUAACCCCAGGAGGUGCUGCUGGCAUGCCCACCUCUCAGAUGAAGCAGUGCGGUCCAGAGAGCGUCUUGGGCACCGCCUGCCUCACAGCUGGGCCCCUGACCCUCCAGGGACUGUGGCUGAGCAGCCAUGGCUGCCUGGACAGGUGUCCCCUGGCCCGUCUGUCCGUCUGGAUGUGGGAACCCUCCAGGCACGCGGGGGCGGGCAGGUGCCAGGUGCU
This 766-nucleotide small RNA is filed under the name Pan troglodytes (chimpanzee). RNAcentral's name for it is "retained intron". The record is from RNAcentral. Lineage: Eukaryota; Metazoa; Chordata; Mammalia; Primates; Hominidae.